This 4332-nucleotide unclassified non-coding RNA is filed under the name Leishmania donovani. Its description in RNAcentral is "gene:LdHU3.35.3940(CDS-product:3'-5'_exonuclease-_putative)". Lineage: Eukaryota; Euglenozoa; Kinetoplastea; Trypanosomatida; Trypanosomatidae. The record is from RNAcentral.
CUGGUGCUCGUCGUGGAAAACAUAUUCAUUGCGACCACCCUCACACGCCUAACCCCCAACGUACGCACACACAGGUACUAAUUCAACGGUUGAGUGCGCGAGCGUGUGUCUAGCAGGCGCACUCGACUGGAGCGGCGACCGCAUAAUCAUUCCGUUUGUUCCGGCUUCUUCGUUUGGUUUCUGGUUAAGGUAAAGUCGCACCUUUCCCACCGCUGCCACAGCGGUAGCUCCAGCAUAUCCUUUUCUGGCUGGCAGCCGUUCACCACCGACUGGGCUUACGCUGCUCUCUAAAGCAUCUUCUGUCCCUCUCACUGUGCACUGCUCUCUUCACCUUGUCUUUUGUCGGACCUUUCUCCGCGCUGUCUGAGCUCUGCACUCCUUUUCGCCGCGAAACACUUAAGCGAGCGCGCAUACACUGAGGAAGUACGCUUCUCAUCUCGAAUCCUACUUUUUUUUUGUCUUUUUGUUUCUGCUCUUCCUCUGUGUCAACCGUCUUCGCAUCGGUUUCACGGGAAGAAGUGUCGCGUGACUCUUGGCGGAGAGACAGAGAGGGUGGAGGGUGGGGGGGUGGAGUGAAGCCGUCUUUCCUUUUUUUCUCACCUCAAAUCCCACCUCCUACGGCAUUUUGUUUCUGUGCUUGUGUAUGUUGUCAUUGCCGCUGUCGUCGUUGCUGCUGCGGGGUGUCUCUGACGUGCGCGCCUGGUUUCGUGCUUGCGCCGUUUUUCUUCGCCCUUUUGCUUGUGCUCUGUUGUUGUUUCGUGAGACCCUUGCCGGGCAUUCUUUUCCCUUCGCUUCUCCUCUUAUUGAUCCGUUACCUGCCUCUCUCACCCCCUGCCUCUUGUGUGCAUGUGCGUGUGCGUGCCUAUAUAUCACCUCCCUUUUCGUUCUGUGGUGUGUUUGCGUUGCUUCUGCGUUUCUUUGUCACGCCCCUUCGAAGCCUAUAAGGACUACGGGGAUCUCCCUCUUUCCCCUCUCUCGCUCUCCAUUACACCCCCUUAGUUGUUUCCCCUGUGCGUGUGUAUCGGACGACACGGCCAGCCUCAUCGUCCAUUGGCAUUCACCUCAGCAUCAUUCCGCUUCAGCCCCCAGCUCGCUUCCCCAUCCUCCGUUCUCGCCGAGUAAGAGUAACUUCUAUAAUCAGAAAGAGCGACUGAGAAAGCGUUGACAGAAUUCAUAAAACCAACAAAAAAGAGGGUCGAAAGAGAAGAGUGCGCGCGCAGUGUGCGAAGCGAAGUGGAGACGCGGACAUAUCCGCUGAAGCUGCUCUUCUUCUCUCGCCGUGUGCUCGCUUGCCCGUCUCUUCCUCGCUCUCUCCCUCUUUUUCCAUCUCCUGCUUGGGUUUUUCCCCAGUAUCUUUCCGCCCACACUUCUUUCGCUUUCCUCUAUAAGGGCGUGCCACCAUAGUGUGUGUGUGUGUGGGCUCGCUGUCGUCUUUGCUUCGUGCGUGUCUCUGCGUGCCGGUAGAUCUGUGAAAAGGGGAGAAGGAAGUGUUGUCUGAAUCACGAGGAGACAACCCUGCGCCUAUUACCAUCUGAGACGCGAUAAGGACGCUCCUUGUUGACCUUGCCACCGCACUGCUCUCUCUCUCUCUAUUUGCCGUUUUUAAGCCGGCUCACAGAAAGAUGAGGGCUUUUCAGCUUUACACCUGUGCUGCGUUCCGUGGGCUUGUGCGGAGUACUGUGGCUACACCAGCACGCACGAUCUCGCAGAGCACGCCGUUGUCGUCGAGCACGCAUGACGUCGAUGGAAGCAGCAGCAGCGGUGGUGCCGCUAGUACCAGCCCGGCAAGGACUUCUUGGUCGCACGUGUCGUCACGCUUCUCCUCCUUUCCUGUGACCGGCGACUGCGCUGCCAUUCUGAAGUAUCCAUACAAGGUAAUCAGCACCGAGCAGGAACUGAAAGAAGCCGUUGGGGUGUUGCAGCGCAGUCGGCAGAUCGCCAUCGACGUCGAGGCUUUCUGCACCCCAGAGGCAAUCAAGACGCCUCAGCUUGGUCGUGUCUCGCUUGUGCAGACCUGCAGUGACGUGGUACCGGUCGUGUUCUUGUUUGACGUUCUCUCUUUGUCAGUGCCGGUCUUCAUGCAGGCUCUCCGGCCCGUGUUCCAUGACGAGACAAUUCGAAAGCUCUUCUUCGACUGCCGACGCGACAUCGAAGCACUGAGCACGCAGAUGGACUUGACCCCGAGGCGUGUGCUGGAUUUGCAGCUCCUUUUUACCGCCGUGCAGUGGAAGCUGCGCAGCGUGAACCGGCGAUCUGGCAUGACGUACGUGCUUAAGAGUGUCGCCGGUAUCCACCGGCAGGAGGGCGACUCUGCCGUGCAGACAGCCAUGAUGGUUGGCGACCGCCCUGUUUGGGAUACGCGACCGCUUCCGGAGCACUUUCUCGAGUACGCCGCCGACGAUGUUCGGCACAUCCACCUCCUCUCCACGUACUUUCCGUCUCUGACGCAGCAGGUGUCGGAGGCAGCGGUGGAGCGGCUGACGGCGCAAUACGUCGAGCACUACGGCAUCGGACAUGCGGUGACAGAAGAGGCCGACGCCCAGCCAGCUCAGGUGAACACGGCCUGGCUGGAGCGGUACAUCGGGCCCGGCGGGGUCUGCAGUUUCUGUGGUAGCAAGGGGCACACGGAGACGGAGUGCUUCCGCAAGCUGAACGGCAACAUGCGCUGCUCCUUCUGCGGCGGUACGGGCCACACGGCGCGUAAUUGCUUCCAGAAGCACCCCGAGCUGCUCAAGUGCGACCGCUGCGGCCAGCUAGGGCACAGUACCGCCAACUGCUUCCGUGCGAACCCGUGCAAGCACUGCGGAGGCAACCACCGAAGUGAGAACUGCCACUACCGCGCGCAUAUUGCGAAUGCGUGAGCUGCCUCCGAGAGGCAGAGAGUCGCAUCAUUACAAGACGCAAGGCAGCACGGGUGUGUGGAGGCGCGUGCCAGCUUUUUUUUUAGAGGGGCUGAGCGCGUACCUUGUCCCGGAAGCGUUCUUUUCUGUGUUGCGGCACGAUUCCCCUCCCGUCAUAAUACGAUGUAGCAGAUGAACUCCGUUCAAGCUGUAUCUGCUCGCGAUGACUGGUUGUGAUCACCACCGCCGGCCUGCUCUUCUUUUUUUUUCUUUGUUUUGUAUACCUUGCUUGACAGUGUUUGACCUGUCUCAUUCUGGCACAGAAGGAAGUCAACCUGCCACGGGGACAAAGCCCCAAGGGGAAGGGGAAGGAAGGGCGAUGGUGGUUGAUGGCGGGUGCGCAGACGGACUUGAGCGGUGCGUGGGCAGCGGUGAGCGCCGUCAAGGGCUUUCUUUCCACCCCAUCUCGUUUGUCCUCUCGGUUUCUCCUCUCCACGUUCUCCGUUCUCUCAACACUCUCGGGAAGUCUUAUCCCACUCCGGCAAUCUCGAGCAUGCACUUUUUUCAGUUUGUCUUUUCCUUAUAAUCUUGCACUUUCGGGCUGAGGGGUGCAUGAUCAUGGUGAUGGUACAAAGGGUGCGAGGGUUGGUGUAGUUCCUGUGAGGAAGGGAGACGGACAUAUACACUCCGACGUCAUGCCUGCGCUUCUUUCUCGUACUCACUUGUCGCACAUCCACAUAGACGUUCCAGAAAAAGAAAAUCAGACGGCUGUCUUCUGCUCAAAUCAAGCAGCGGCAGGACGGUCGAGGGUGAUUGUGUCAACGCGUGUCUGUGCGGAACUGUCCCUGUGGUUGGAUGGAGGGCAGAAACAUCUCCCUCCCUUCCCCCUGCGCCUUUCUCACCCCUUACGAAGAGGUGAGGCUGGGCAGCGCAUUUGCUGGUCUCCGUAUCUCUCGUGAAGUUGGGCAGCCCCUCCGCUUGCUUCUGUUGGCCUACACAGUAUGGCCUUCUCCCCCUUCCGAGUCCCACUCACACCCCACACGACUCGUGUGGGCGCACUUGUGCUUUGAUCGCCGCUAGUGAGUUGGUUCGGAUAGCGUACGUGGAGGAUAUGAGACGACUGUAGAUCUCUCUCUGACAUGCAAGCAACCAGCUCAGUGUGAGCAGCAUCUCUUGCUGGACGGCUGCUGCUCGUGUACUGCUAAAGCUUCACUGUGCACUCUCACCCGUGAUGUGCAGCAGCGUACUUGCCGCGAUAUGCGAAAAAAAAAGAAGGAGGAAAACAGUCUCCUUUCCUCCGUGAUCUUGAGAAGAAGCAGAGGAGCGAAAAUCAAAGCACGCCGAACCGGAUGCCCGCUUCACCGUGCAUAAGAUGUGAAAUUGCUCUGCGCCAACUCUGAACCCUCUUACCCGUGUCUAACACUCUCCAUUCGGCUCUCUCCCUCUUGCGUCGCCGAGUGUCACUCCAUGAUUUCGCUGCACGGCACAAAAG